RNAcentral lists this ribosomal RNA (253 nucleotides) under uncultured bacterium. RNAcentral's name for it is "partial 16S ribosomal RNA". It matches the Rfam family "Bacterial small subunit ribosomal RNA", at positions 524 to 776 of the family's 1533-position model. The record is from RNAcentral.
UACGUAGGGUGCGAGCGUUACUCGGAAUUACUGGGCGUAAAGCGUGCGCAGGCGGUUUUGUAAGCCAGAUGUUAAAUCCCCGGGCUUAACCUGGGAAUGGCAUUUGGGACUGCAAGGCUGGAGUGUGGCAGAGGAGACUGGAAUUCAUGGUGUAGCAGUGAAAUGCGUAGAGAUCAUGAGGAAGACCAGUGGCGAAGGCGGGUCUCUGGACAGUUCCUGACACUGAGACACGAAGGCCAGGGGAGCAAACGGG